Molecule: non-coding RNA, 72 nt
Organism: Pangasianodon hypophthalmus (striped catfish)
Lineage: Eukaryota; Metazoa; Chordata; Actinopteri; Siluriformes; Pangasiidae
Source: the annotation of a RefSeq genome assembly
GGCAUGAUGGCCAAGUGGGAAGGUGUUGGUCUCGUAAAUCAAAGCUUAUGGGUUCAAUCCCCGUUCAUGCCA